AUUGAACGCUGGCGGCAGGCCUAACACAUGCAAGUCGAGCGGUAGCACAGAGAGCUUGCUCUCGGGUGACGAGCGGCGGACGGGUGAGUAAUGUCUGGGAAACUGCCUGAUGGAGGGGGAUAACUACUGGAAACGGUAGCUAAUACCGCAUAAUGUCGCAAGACCAAAGUGGGGGACCUUCGGGCCUCAUGCCAUCAGAUGUGCCCAGAUGGGAUUAGCUAGUAGGUGGGGUAACGGCUCACCUAGGCGACGAUCCCUAGCUGGUCUGAGAGGAUGACCAGCCACACUGGAACUGAGACACGGUCCAGACUCCUACGGGAGGCAGCAGUGGGGAAUAUUGCACAAUGGGCGCAAGCCUGAUGCAGCCAUGCCGCGUGUGUGAAGAAGGCCUUCGGGUUGUAAAGCACUUUCAGCGGGGAGGAAGGCGGUGAGGUUAAUAACCUCAUCGAUUGACGUUACCCGCAGAAGAAGCACCGGCUAACUCCGUGCCAGCAGCCGCGGUAAUACGGAGGGUGCAAGCGUUAAUCGGAAUUACUGGGCGUAAAGCGCACGCAGGCGGUCUGUCAAGUCGGAUGUGAAAUCCCCGGGCUCAACCUGGGAACUGCAUUCGAAACUGGCAGGCUAGAGUCUUGUAGAGGGGGGUAGAAUUCCAGGUGUAGCGGUGAAAUGCGUAGAGAUCUGGAGGAAUACCGGUGGCGAAGGCGGCCCCCUGGACAAAGACUGACGCUCAGGUGCGAAAGCGUGGGGAGCAAACAGGAUUAGAUACCCUGGUAGUCCACGCCGUAAACGAUGUCGAUUUGGAGGUUGUGCCCUUGAGGCGUGGCUUCCGGAGCUAACGCGUUAAAUCGACCGCCUGGGGAGUACGGCCGCAAGGUUAAAACUCAAAUGAAUUGACGGGGGCCCGCACAAGCGGUGGAGCAUGUGGUUUAAUUCGAUGCAACGCGAAGAACCUUACCUGGUCUUGACAUCCACAGAACUUAGCAGAGAUGCUUUGGUGCCUUCGGGAACUGUGAGACAGGUGCUGCAUGGCUGUCGUCAGCUCGUGUUGUGAAAUGUUGGGUUAAGUCCCGCAACGAGCGCAACCCUUAUCCUUUGUUGCCAGCGGUCCGGCCGGGAACUCAAAGGAGACUGCCAGUGAUAAACUGGAGGAAGGUGGGGAUGACGUCAAGUCAUCAUGGCCCUUACGACCAGGGCUACACACGUGCUACAAUGGCAUAUACAAAGAGAAGCGACCUCGCGAGAGCAAGCGGACCUCAUAAAGUAUGUCGUAGUCCGGAUUGGAGUCUGCAACUCGACUCCAUGAAGUCGGAAUCGCUAGUAAUCGUAGAUCAGAAUGUCACGGUGAAUACGUUCCCGGGCCUUGUACACACCGCCCGUCACACCAUGGGAGUGGGUUGCAAAAGAAGUAGGUAGCUUAACCUUCGGGAGGGCGCUUACCACUUUGUGAUUCAUGACUGGGGUGA
RNAcentral lists this ribosomal RNA (1463 nucleotides) under uncultured Klebsiella sp. Its description in RNAcentral is "bacterial SSU rRNA". It matches the Rfam family "Bacterial small subunit ribosomal RNA". The record is from RNAcentral. Lineage: Bacteria; Pseudomonadati; Pseudomonadota; Gammaproteobacteria; Enterobacterales; Enterobacteriaceae.